This 371-nucleotide ribosomal RNA is filed under the name uncultured bacterium. Its description in RNAcentral is "bacterial SSU rRNA". It matches the Rfam family "Bacterial small subunit ribosomal RNA", at positions 527 to 896 of the family's 1533-position model. The record is from RNAcentral.
GUAGGGGGCAAGCGUUGUCCGGAUUUACUGGGCGUAAAGAGCGUGUAGGCGGCCAAGCAGGUCCGUUGUGAAAACUGGAGGCUUAACCUCCAGACGUCGACGGAAACCGCGUGGCUAGAGUCCGGAAGAGGAGAGUGGAAUUCCUGGUGUAGCGGUGAAAUGCGCAGAUAUCAGGAAGAACACCAAUGGCGAAGGCAGCUCUCUGGGACGGUACUGACGCUGAGACGCGAAAGCGUGGGGAGCGAACAGGAUUAGAUACCCUGGUAGUCCACGCCGUAAACGAUGGGUGCUAGGUGUGGGAGGUGUCGACUCCUUCCGUGCCGUAGCUAACGCAUUAAGCACCCCGCCUGGGGAGUACGGCCGCAAGGCUA